CUUACUUUGAGGUAAAUAUGGGACCGAUACUAGUAAUGGCCUACUGGACUCAUCAUCAUUCUUAGAAAGGAAAUAAAAUAAAUAUCUUAUUAAGAAUAAUUUAAAGUGUACUUAAUAAUUAGCCUUUGUUGUCACAUAGAGCCUAUAUGAUUUGAUAACUAAUCAGAAACUUAUUAAUUACAAAAAUAUUCUUUAAAUAUGACAAU
Molecule: long non-coding RNA, 206 nt
Filed under: Elaeis guineensis (African oil palm)
Lineage: Eukaryota; Viridiplantae; Streptophyta; Magnoliopsida; Arecales; Arecaceae
Description: long non-coding RNA (EGUI_LNC011472)
Source: RNAcentral